This is an unclassified non-coding RNA of Macaca mulatta (Rhesus monkey), 148 nucleotides long. It matches the Rfam family "Metazoan signal recognition particle RNA". From Rfam's summary of the family: The signal recognition particle (SRP) is a universally conserved ribonucleoprotein. It is involved in the co-translational targeting of proteins to membranes. The eukaryotic SRP consists of a 300-nucleotide 7S RNA and six proteins: SRPs 72, 68, 54, 19, 14, and 9. The record is from Ensembl. NCBI's taxonomy places the organism in Eukaryota, Metazoa, Chordata, Mammalia, Primates, Cercopithecidae.
GCCGGGCAUGGUGGUGCAUGCCUGUAGUCCCAGCUACUUGGGAGGCUGAGGUGGGAGGAUUGCUUGAGCCUGGGAAGUCAAGACUGCAGUGAGCUGUGAUUGCAUCACUGCACUGCAGCCUAAGCAACCAAGAAAGACCCUGUCUCAA